This is a long non-coding RNA of Mercenaria mercenaria, 368 nucleotides long. RefSeq lists it as uncharacterized. The record is from RefSeq and is a predicted model, not a curated record. Lineage: Eukaryota; Metazoa; Mollusca; Bivalvia; Venerida; Veneridae. The transcript is spliced from 3 exons.
AGACCAAGAUAGCUCUUGAAAAGCAGAUAGCAGAGCAAGAAGAAGAAUUGACGAGAAUCAGAAAAGGUGUGAAACGGAAAGACGAGGAGAGACGAUUACUUGAGGAAACUUUGCAUGAUUCUAAAAAUAACUAUGAUGACCUAUACAAAGAGUUAACCAAUGUACGAGCAUACUAUGAGCGGUCUUUGGAACAAAUCAGCGUACUGGAGAACAACAAACAUUUGGCCAUACAACAGUUAGAACUGGCUGAACAUGAGAAAGAACGUCUCCGUGUGGAGAAUGACAGACUUAGAGAGCUGGCUGAAGGAAAAUCUCGUGAUUUGAAAAAUGAAAGACAACAAUUGGAGGAAGCCGUCCUUGACCUCAAG